This 492-nucleotide ribosomal RNA is filed under the name uncultured bacterium. Its description in RNAcentral is "partial 16S ribosomal RNA". It matches the Rfam family "Bacterial small subunit ribosomal RNA", at positions 29 to 507 of the family's 1533-position model. The record is from RNAcentral.
AGUGAACGCUGGCGGUAGGCCUAACACAUGCAAGUCGAACGGCAGCACAGUAAGAGCUUGCUCUUACGGGUGGCGAGUGGCGGACGGGUGAGGAAUACAUCGGAAUCUACUUUUUCGUGGGGGAUAACGUAGGGAAACUUACGCUAAUACCGCAUACGACCUACGGGUGAAAGCAGGGGAUCUUCGGACCUUGCGCGAUUGAAUGAGCCGAUGUCGGAUUAGCUAGUUGGCGGGGUAAAGGCCCACCAAGGCGACGAUCCGUAGCUGGUCUGAGAGGAUGAUCGGCCACACUGGAACUGAGACACGGUCCAGACUCCUACGGGAGGCAGCAGUGGGGAAUAUUGGACAAUGGGCGCAAGCCUGAUCCAGCCAUACCGCGUGUGUUAAGAAGGCCUUCGGGUUGUAAAGCCCUUUUGUUGGGAAAGAAAAGCAGCAGGUUAAUACCCCGCUGUUCUGACGGUACCCAAAGAAUAAGCACCGGCUAACUUCGUG